CGGGGAGGAGGAAGGGGGCGGGCCGGCAGCCGGGGCCGGGAGGGUAAAAUGGCGGCGGCGGUUGCGGCUCCUCGCGCACCGCGGGUAGGGCGGGAAGCGCGUUUCCCUGCCCUCCUCCCGCCUCCCGCGAAGGGGGAUCUCCUCCCAUAACGCGCGCACGCCGCCGCGGCGGAGCGGCCUCUUCUGUUCAAAGCGAGCCGCCGCUACCUGCGAGCGCCCGCGGCGCGGCUGCCCGGCCCGAGGACUGCCCGGCGGCGGCCCCGAGCCCGGGCUGCGGACUGGGGCUGUUGGAGGGGUGGCCGGGCCGCCCGAAGGGGGAUCCCUCCUCAGCGGGCCGCGGCCUUGCCUUGGAGGACUUCUUAGGCACCCAGUUCCCGCUUUUUUUCCCCCCCUCUAUUUAUUUAUUUAUUUGCCUGGCCGGGGACGCCUUCCCAAACCGAGGCGGUUCGGGGCGAGAACGGGAGGGAGCUGCGGCGGCCCUGCCUGCAGGGAGCUCCGGCCUCAAGGGAGCGCCGGAUGGGCGACCUGGGUAGUAAAAAGCUCCCCGUUUCUGGGCGGAUUUUUGGUGUCUUUUUUUAAUCAAAGUGUUCACGUUUUCCUCUGGCAGGGCGCGGGGCAGGCUUGUCGGCCGUGUCCUCGCCGGGCCCUGGCUGAGGGGAGCCCAAGCGGCCGUUGCCGGAUCUGGGCUCAGCUCUGGCUUGGGGCACUUCCUAUGCCGCUUUCCCGAAAAUAAACAUUUGAGCUGCUACAGUAUUGUAUGAAAAUAACGUGAAAGCCAGUUGAGUGGCUGGUGUUUAAACCAGAGAACCAUAUCUAUGUGUGUACUGACAGAUCUACAUGCUGAUAGCCGUUGGGAGUUUUCCUGUAACUGAGGAGAAAGAGCUGAGGUCGAACAACUGGUGAUUAAGGGACGUAUCUAUUAAACAGAUCAGCUCUUUGAUCUAACUGAUUGCACAGCCACAUAAACAUCAGAGUCAGCACAAGGAAGAGGACGUUUCAAGCAUGGUAUCACAUGCCAAGUUCAAUGAAUACAAGAGAAGAAUAUGGGUGACCUUGAUUCCCUCCUAUUUUUGUGCUGACUGGAAUACUGCCAGCCAAAUUCUUUUAACUGCAUACAUUAAUAUUGCUGGCCUACAAUGCUGGUUGUAAUGAUCCUAAGCCUUCAGCUAUCCCAUCCACUGCUUUUUUCUCUUGAUCUUUUAUUCCCUCCUCAUAUAUGCCAUCAUUGCAGGGUUGUCUGAUCCCAAGGAAGACCUCUCUCCUUCCUUUGACUGUGAUGCUGUUCUCAGUCUGAAAACACUUGCUCUAGUAAACUGCCAGCGCAGUUCUAAAGAAGUACCUGAAGAUAAAUGCAAACCUAGAGCAAAUAUAAAACUCUAAGCCCAAACUUAAGACUGGAGUAAGAGUUUGAGAACAUAUAUACUCUGCAACAUAUAUACUCUGUCCCACUGAUUCAUACCACCAAACUAAUACUGUAGUCCUGGCUCUCUUUAGGCUAAAGAUGGAGUUAAAAACCUUUCACAAAACUGAGCUGGACUAGGGGUUGAGAAGGUAAGGCUGGUCGUUGCCACUGUUCCUCUUCUGGGACACUGCCACAGCUCCUGUAUCCUGAAUCAGACAGGCAUCCAUCCUAAUGAAAGACAAGACUCAGUCUAGUGACAGCAAGAAUGAGGAAGGGUGUAGUUCUUUUUCUCAGCUUGAGGGUCUGCAGCAGUUUAGGUCCAUCUAAGUCAGUGCUGCAACAGUUCUUCCCUUUACUGAUUCCCCUCUCCCUCCGUCAUAUUGGUAUUCCUACAAUGAAUAGAUUUGCAGUGCUAUAGAGGAACAGGAAAAAACACUUUUCAUUAAGGGGGCAGGGAAAUCCUGGUUAUUUGUCAGCUCUGUGGCUCACGGAGUCGUCAGUCAAGCGCAGAACUGAUACUUAGUUGAGCAUUUGCAGAUGGCGGUAGGGAAAGCAGGGAUACCCGAUUGAGAGCUACUGCUCUGAAAAAAGUUAAAUUGCUUAAGAAAACACCUUGAAAAUUCAAUUAGAUAUAUUUGUCUACCCUGUCUUGUAGUUUGUAUAUCCAAACCUUAUUUUGUAUCUGAAUGUACAUACAGAAUAGUGAAUGUAGAAUAUGGAACACUUAACUGAUACAUUUUUGAUGUUAGUCAUGUUGACUGCUUCAGCCAGAGCUUUGUCUCUAAUGACUGAAGUAUCUUCUGUUUGAUCUGCUGUAGGUUACCAUUCCCGUAGCAAGUUGAAUGGGUUGCACGUUUAUUACUCUACUGCCACAGUUUAUGACAAAAAGUAAACUACCAGUGAUUUCAGUAGAUGUUAAUAGGAGAUGGAAGCUGUGACAGCUGAAAAACAAGUAAAUGUUUUAUUUGGCCAUUUCUGCUAUACAGAUGACAACUUCAAAACGGAGAUUCCAGCCAAUUCAGUUAUAUCUGUGACCUCUAGUCAGAAAUGACGCUGGAAAGGUUGAAAUCCAUUGCCCAGGAAAUCCUUCAUUUCACUAAAGGAAAUAAAUCUCCACCUGAAAAGUUAGCAAUGAAAUUCAGCUGAAACAUAAUAGAAUCAGUUUAAAUUUACACAGACUUUAAAAUUCUACUACCUGAAUUUCAAAAUUAAAGUGUCUUAUACGUCCAUUAAUCUAGCAAUCAGCAUUUUUAUUUUUAUUUUUUAAUAAACUUAAUGUCUAACUAGACUUCGCUAUCACAGCACCCUGUGAAGACAGAAAUCCAGGUAGGUUGACUUCCCCUGAAUAUUGAAGAAUACAAUCAACAUUUCUGGGGAUGUAAAUUAGGCCAAAAACUUGUCAUGUAACAGUAGUGAUCCUUACCACACUAUGUUACAGUUUGCUACAAAAACACCUAAGUGCCUGCUCAGCAUUUCAGUAGAAAAAUAACCUGCAUUCUAAUAAAUGUUAUUACCAGCUACUGGGUGUGGUGAGAAUCACACCAUAGAGCCAAGUAAACAGACCAAACUCCAACUCAGAGUGGUUUCACUACAGUAUCUCAGAGCCUGCUUAUACAGUAGCAAUUAUGGUUAGUAAUUUAGUUGAGCUUUUUUUUGUUUGAACACCUCUAUUCCCAUAUAGCUCUAGUGGAGAUUUGGCUGUACUAGUUUGAAAUUCGGUGCUACUAGUCUACCACUCUUUUUUGAUGAUACUCUGAUAAUUACACCCGGGUUCUCAGUCUGAUUCUGGGAGU
Dromaius novaehollandiae (emu) is the source of this 3195-nucleotide long non-coding RNA. RefSeq lists it as uncharacterized. The record is from RefSeq and is a predicted model, not a curated record. NCBI's taxonomy places the organism in Eukaryota, Metazoa, Chordata, Aves, Casuariiformes, Dromaiidae. The transcript is spliced from 3 exons.